UCCCUGGUAGUUUAGUGGUUAAGAUUUGGUGCUCUCACUGCCUUGGCCCGGGUUUGAUUCCUGGUCAGGGAA
This 72-nucleotide transfer RNA is filed under the name Cricetulus griseus (Chinese hamster). It matches the Rfam family "tRNA". From Rfam's summary of the family: Transfer RNA (tRNA) molecules are approximately 80 nucleotides in length. Their secondary structure includes four short double-helical elements and three loops (D, anti-codon, and T loops). Further hydrogen bonds mediate the characteristic L-shaped molecular structure. tRNAs have two regions of fundamental functional importance: the anti-codon, which is responsible for specific mRNA codon recognition, and the 3' end, to which the tRNAs corresponding amino acid is attached (by aminoacyl-tRNA synthetases). tRNAs cope with the degeneracy of the genetic code in two manners: having more than one tRNA (with a specific anti-codon) for a particular amino acid; and 'wobble' base-pairing, i.e. permitting non-standard base-pairing at the 3rd anti-codon position. Lineage: Eukaryota; Metazoa; Chordata; Mammalia; Rodentia; Cricetidae. The record is from Rfam by way of RNAcentral.